This 353-nucleotide unclassified non-coding RNA is filed under the name soil metagenome. RNAcentral describes it as "partial contains 5.8S ribosomal RNA, internal transcribed spacer 2, and large subunit ribosomal RNA". The stretch from base 1 to 120 matches the Rfam family "5.8S ribosomal RNA", at positions 35 to 154 of the family's 154-position model. The record is from RNAcentral.
GAUGAAGAACGUAGCGAAAUGCGAUAAGUAAUGUGAAUUGCAGAAUUCAGUGAAUCAUCGAAUCUUUGAACGCACAUUGCGCCCGCCAGUAUUCUGGCGGGCAUGCCUGUUCGAGCGUCGUUACAACCCUCAGGCCCCCGGGCCUGGCGUUGGGGAUCGGCGAGGCGCCCCCCGCGGGCACGCGCCGUCCCCCAAAUACAGUGGCGGUCCCGCCGCAGCUUCCAUUGCGUAGUAGCUAACACCUCGCAACUGGAGAGCGGCGCGGCCAUGCCGUAAAACACCCAACUUCUGAAUGUUGACCUCGAAUCAGGUAGGAAUACCCGCUGAACUUAAGCAUAUCAAUAAGCGGAGGA